This 180-nucleotide non-coding RNA is filed under the name Spongiibacteraceae bacterium. RNAcentral's name for it is "6S RNA". It matches the Rfam family "6S / SsrS RNA". Rfam says of the family: E. coli 6S RNA was the first non coding RNA to be sequenced, but its function was unknown until recently. It consists of 184 nucleotides that fold into an extended hairpin structure with a large single-stranded internal bulge. The record is from RNAcentral. Lineage: Bacteria; Pseudomonadati; Pseudomonadota; Gammaproteobacteria; Cellvibrionales; Spongiibacteraceae.
UCGACCCUGGGGUAUGCGUCAGACCGCAAGAUCCCUGAGCCGAUGCUUUUUACCCAGGCCGUUUCCAGCCGUUGCUGUUGUGCAUGCCCGCUUGACGGGAAGCCUGAUGCAACGCGGGGACUGCCACCUUGAACCUCUGGGUUCAAGGGUCACGCGGCCAACGGUACCACCGGGGUUUUU